UACAGAGGGUGCGAACGUUGCUCGGAAUCACUGGGCGUAAAGCGCGUGUAGGCGGGCGAUCAAGUCAGGCGUGAAAUCCCCGGGCUCAACCCGGGAACUGCGUCUGAAACUGGUUGCCUUGAGUGUCGGAGAGGGAAGCGGAAUUCCUGGUGUAGAGGUGAAAUUCGUAGAUAUCAGGAGGAACACCGGUGGCGAAGGCGGCUUCCUGGACGACUACUGACGCUGAGACGCGAAAGCGUGGGGAGCAAACAGGAUUAGAAACCCUCGUAGUCC
This 273-nucleotide ribosomal RNA is filed under the name uncultured bacterium. Its description in RNAcentral is "partial 16S ribosomal RNA". It matches the Rfam family "Bacterial small subunit ribosomal RNA", at positions 524 to 796 of the family's 1533-position model. The record is from RNAcentral.